AGGAAAACGCGGUUAGGCUUAGCGUGUGAAUCCGCCGAGGAUUAGGAUAAAUAAUCCUAAUUGCCUACAAUUGGAAACUCUACUCUAUCUUCUUCUACCCCUUGCAAUUUGCAAACCCUAACCCCAGAAUCAAUUUGUCCCAAUUCCGAUUUUUGUUCAAUCUCCGAUACCCACUUGUAAUCUUGACUAAAGAUUCAAUCUUUGGGGUUCAAUUUUUUCUCUGAGAAAAUAAAGGAAUUAGGGUUUAGGAGUUAAGAGGAGGAGGAAGAUGGUGAUCAGGAUUGAAGAUUUGAGGAAAAAUGAGACCAGGCUUUGCGGGUCUUUCUUGAAAAUGGUUGAGGAUGUGAAAGCCAUGGCCAGCGACCCAUCUGAGCAACAAGUGCUUCUGACCCAGAUGGUUUUGAAGGAGUUGAUGAUGAAUAGGAACAAACCAGAAGCAGCCUUCUCACUUGGUUUUCCCAAAAAGAAGAGAUCUGGAUCUAGAGGGAUGCAAAAGCAGAAUCAGAAGCAGAGGAUCAUCAUCAAAUUCAAACGCUGCGUCUCUGCCACUACAGAAACAGGAUUUGAAAUUGAAAUUGAAAUUGAAGAGCAAGAAGAGGUGCUACUCUGAAAUCGAACAAGCAGGGGAUGAAGGUUUCGAAGAAAUAAACUCGAAAAGGCUGAGAAAGGGAAAGAAUGAUAAGAGGGUAUUACCAAGUGUGCAAUCGAUGACUGUGGAUUUUCCAAUGGAAGAAUUGCAGGAUCGUAUUCGUGGAUCAGAUAACCCAAAGCCAAGAGCAAUAGCAAUAGCAAUAGCAGGGGAGAGGAAGCAGAUCAAGAGCAAUAUGACCAUCUUUGCUUUGUCCUUGUUAAUCUGCUUUCCGUGAGUAUUCUUUGAGUCUUUGACUUAAACUUAAAUCAACUUGGGUAGUCUUUGAUCAAUAUAUAUGUACAUAGUUAUCAAGUCCUAAGAUUUCUUGUUCAUUAACUCUCUACCCUUCUCCAUUUUCUCAGUCUUGCAGUUUAUGUUCAACAGUAAUUCAAUGAACAACUUUCAUUUUUCCGGUAUGGUUUUUGUAAUUUUAAUACUUUCUCUAUUUCCCCAAAGCUCAGAUAUCGCAUAUCUUCAUUCUCUUUCUCUCAGAUCAUUCAGUAUGCUCUUUGAGUUUUGGGGAUGCAUCCAAUUUCUUCUUAUGUUUACCUGGUAUGUUAGCUUACAUGUGCUCUUUUAGUUUUAGACUAGGCUUAUUAAUGCUUUUAACCAUUUAUCUUUGUUCGUUCUCUUCUUAAUGGUGACAACUCAUAUAUAAGAAUUAGCUUAUGAGUAAAGAACUAAAGAUGCUUCUGAUUUUUUACCAACUGGCAUGGUGGUCUGCUUGUGUAGUAUAGGUUGAAUUACUUGCACUAGGCUAUGUUUAGGAUGAAGGAUGUCUAGUUUCAACAUCGUUGUUUCUUUUGACUGGAGGACUGAAGGAAUGUUGGUUUAAUUCACCGCUACAAUUUGAGAUAUGGCUCAUUAAUUUUGGUGCGGAUUAAUGGAAUGUGCUUUAGUUUGAGCUGCAUCUGUCCUUGUUUUUGAAAGGAUUUGAUGUCUUAGUAUGCAAUUUGAGCUUUGUUUUUCAAAUCAGAUUGGUUUAUGAAUUAUUUCCAUUUAUUUUCAUAAAGAUGAGUACUCUCACAUUUGGAUUCCAAAUCUUCUUUACUGCAUAAAACUUCCUAGAAGUAAGGGAUGCAAAAUUCCUCACCGAACAGAUGACGAUAUCAGCUAUUCUCCUCCCUGUCGAAUUGUGCGUAUGGGAGUAGCUCUAUAAAUCAUAUUGAAGUUUUUGGAAAAUAUGCAUGAAUGAUGAAGUGGUAGUUUCAUUUUGUAUGCAGCACCUUGGCAAGAUUCUGGUUUCUUAAUAGAACCAAUAGCUCAUGUACACAGAAGAUGAUACAAAAGUCUAGUUUUCAAGUGUUAACUGUUCUGGAACUAUCAAGAUUAAGAUCAUUAUGAAUAACUUUGCUUUCCCUUGUUAAGCUGGUAUUGAGUCUUUGAUUUACAAUUAAGUUAAGUCUAUUAUGUCCGUCUUGUUAGCUAGCUUCAGCAUUAUCAAUGAUGAUAUGUACAUAAGAGUUGUCUACUCCAUUGUCUUCAUCUUGUACGUUCUGUUAGAUAGUAAUUCGAUGAACUGACAUUCACUUUUCCAAUAUGGUUUCGUUUAAUAUUGAAUAUUUUUGUAUUUGCAAAAAAUCAUAUAUAUGCACUUUGUGCUGCAUCCUACUCCUUUUGUUUACCAAUAUGUUAGCUUACAUGUGCUCGUUCUAGUUCUAUACUAGGCUUAUCUGAUCUUUUAAAUGCUUUACUUUUCGUUUUUCUUCAGGUCUGCCGACAACACUCAGGUGUUGAUGGCUUGUUUUCAACUUUUAUUAUGAUUUUGCUACUCAACCUCUAGUUUUGUAGUCCAAGUAUUUGUUAUUUUUGUCUAGCUGAAUUGAGGUUUGACUAAUACUCAUUGCUAAGUAGUACUGAUUAAUAGAAUUUGCUGUAAUUUGGUAUGUUCAUGUUUCUGAAAGAAUAUGGUGUCUCGGUGUGGAAAAUAUGGAUGUUUCUCAAAUUAGAUUGGAUUGACUUUUCUGUUUCAUUCACGAAGGUGAUUAUUGUCACAUGACUCGCCUAGAUUCCAAAUCUUCUCUACUAUUUAAAACUUCCUAGAAAAAAGUCUUGCAAAAUCCCCACCAAACAGAUGAGAGUACCAGCUGUUCUCCUCCCUGUUGUACAUUGUGCUUAUGGAAUAAGGAAUAUGUUGGCUUAGUUGAUGGUCAGUCUCUUUAUUAUUCUGAUAGUUAUGCUGAAGAGUGGAAGGAAUGUGGGUUUUAUUAUCAAAUUUACCUUUUUCCCAACUCUCACCAAGUAUGACAAAAUGAAUUUUUAAAGGCAUCACCUGCUUACUUUCAAAAAAUGAGCUGGAAUUUGUUUUUCCGUUUCUAGGACAUGCAGACGCAUGCUUUCCACCAGGCUAUCUUUCCAUUAUGUGUUAGAUGUUCUAAUACACAUACAUAUCAUGUGCUAUUAAUGAUUUUGCUUCUUCUGCAAAUUUCCAGGUCAUGUUAACUGUAUAAAAGUUCGACAUUGGUUCCCUGGUGGUGAGCACUUAAAGAUCUACCAUAUGGGAGGAGAGCAAAAGGCCUAUAUAUAUACACUUGGUCCCUUACCUUUUGGUUAUUGUUUUGGUUCUUGCUGCAGGUUCGUGCUUUAGUGAGAGGCUUGGAUGAUCUUUUUUUUUUUUUUAGUGAAACUAUCCUCUUUGUAACUUUCAACUCGAGUAAUAUCUGAAUAAAGUACUUGUACUUCUCCAACAGUCCAUCUUCUUGAGUUUUUUUUAUUGCAUAUCUUGUUUUAUCCCCGCCAUAUAUAAAUGAGUAAACUUGGCUAUUUUUCGCUGGGGGUUUAUACUUUGUACUAGUAAACAUUUG
Molecule: long non-coding RNA, 3435 nt
Organism: Rosa rugosa (rugosa rose)
Lineage: Eukaryota; Viridiplantae; Streptophyta; Magnoliopsida; Rosales; Rosaceae
Exons: 3
Source: RefSeq, a predicted model, not a curated record